AGAACGAACGCUGGCGGCAUGCCUAAUACAUGCAAGUCGAACGAAGGCUUCGGCCUUAGUGGCGCACGGGUGCGUAACGCGUGGGAAUCUGCCCCUUGGUUCGGAAUAACAGUUGGAAACGACUGCUAAUACCGGAUGAUGACGAAAGUCCAAAGAUUUGUCGCCAAGGGAUGAGCCCGCGUAGGAUUAGCUAGUUGGUGAGGUAAAGGCUCACCAAGGCGACGAUCCUUAGCUGGUCUGAGAGGAUGAUCAGCCACACUGGGACUGAGACACGGCCCAGACUCCUACGGGAGCAGCAGUAGGGAAUAUUGGACAAUGGGCGAAAG
This 326-nucleotide ribosomal RNA is filed under the name uncultured soil bacterium. RNAcentral's name for it is "bacterial SSU rRNA". It matches the Rfam family "Bacterial small subunit ribosomal RNA", at positions 26 to 381 of the family's 1533-position model. The record is from RNAcentral.